CAGUAGCCACGGGAAUACGUAGGGGGCAAGCGUUAUCCGGAAUAACUGGGCGUAAAGGGUGCGCAGGUGGUUUAACAAGUUAGUGGUGAAAGGCAUAGGCUCAACCAAUGUAAGCCAUUAAAACUGUUUAACUUGAGUGCAGGAGAGGAAAGUGGAAUUCCUAGUGUAGCGGUGAAAUGCGUAGAUAUUAGGAGGAAUACCAGUGGCGAAGGCGACUUUCUGGACUGCAACUGACACUGAGGCACGAAAGCGUGGGGAGCAAACAGGAUUAGAUACCCGCGUAGUCCCUGUCUCUUAUACA
RNAcentral lists this ribosomal RNA (301 nucleotides) under uncultured bacterium. RNAcentral describes it as "partial 16S ribosomal RNA". It matches the Rfam family "Bacterial small subunit ribosomal RNA", at positions 509 to 808 of the family's 1533-position model. The record is from RNAcentral.